RNAcentral lists this non-coding RNA (30 nucleotides) under Mus musculus (house mouse). The record is from RNAcentral. Lineage: Eukaryota; Metazoa; Chordata; Mammalia; Rodentia; Muridae.
UAUGAGGUGCUCACGUUUUUCUUACUAGGC